Molecule: long non-coding RNA, 4486 nt
Organism: Cygnus atratus (black swan)
Lineage: Eukaryota; Metazoa; Chordata; Aves; Anseriformes; Anatidae
Exons: 3
Source: RefSeq, a predicted model, not a curated record
GGCAGCCCCCGGCUCACCUGAGCUCCGGGCGGCGGAGAGGGGCCGCGGCCGCCCCGGAGCUCCCCGAGCCCAUCCGGGGGAGCCGGGGAGGAGAGGAGCAGCACCGGCAGCGGCAGAGCUUGCGGGCUCCUCUUGCAUCUCCCAGGCACUGCAGAGGCUGCACAUCCUUUGGGAGGAGGAGCAGGGACAAAACAUGGCUGGAAAACAGCAAAAGCAGGACCCACACAAUCUGUCCCCGCCCAGAGCCAUGCGAGGGAGCAGCCUCCCUGUAACCAUGGAGCACAGCCACGUGUGAGACAUGUUCUGCCUUCAACUCUUCCCCUUCCCUGAUGCUGCAUUUCAGAAGGAACUUUUUAACGUGGUGUUUCCCCUCCAUGCUCUUUGGCAUCAGGAAAGUGUUUUCAAAUCAUUUGCCUCAAAGAAGCUACGUGUUUUUUCCCCGUACCGUGUGGGCAUAGUUACAGUCAGAAGAAUCCACAAAUUUCUCAGUAACUCAUUCUUCCAGCGAGCUCGGAUAACCCUGCUGCUGUUCUCUUCUGCAGCACUCCAGGAGAACUCGCAGCACUUUUAGCUGAUCUACUAAAGGAGAAGAAUCAUUCUGGAGUGAUUUGCUGCUAAAAUGAGGCUUCAACAGAUGACAUGAGCAUCUUGAGAGAAAGCACAGCACAGAACCCUUCUGCUCCAUGGACGUGGGAAAGGCAGGUGCAUUUCAGAGAUGAAAUACACUUAAUUUAAAAAAAACUUCCACCUCAAAGGAACUUUUCUUAAACAAAGUUUCUUGGCACAGCUCUUUCCUUGUAGCUGCAAUUUGACAGUGAACACAUUGUAUGUCCUGAAAAAAAAUACAAUCCCUGUGGCAGAAAGACCAGAGAGGAAAAAUUUCAUCUGGCAGCAUGGGCUGCAUGCCUGAUAUAUGCUGUUUUGGUGAGGAACGGAGCACCAAAGUGCACCUAGAAAGCUACUUGUGAUGUGUUCAAGAUCCAUCCUAAUCAUCACAUUUAAUCAAAAUCAAGCAAAAAGAAAUUGGAAAGGCCUGGAACAAAAUCCUUGGUAAGAAGACUAAACACCAACUGCCCAAACUCAAACACAAUGGGACUAAUUAAGACAGCAGAGCAAAGCCCCACAUUUGAAGGUAACAAACUGAGAGCAUGCGGUAUGGGAAGGUCUGAGAUUUCCAACCCAUCCCAUCUUCCCCCAGGCUCUCAGGAACACCACAACGUACAAACAGUGUUGUGGUAUUUAAUGCCAGAAGGGACAAUGGGAUCAUCCAGCCUGAGCUCCCAUAUUGUUUGGGCCAUAUACCUACAUGUCUGGUCGAGAUGUGUGUUGCUGAAGAUCAUCUAGUUCAGACCUGAAGACCUCUUUAGCAGGACAUGCCACCAUUUCCCAAGGACUUUGUGCUUUAAUUUAACCACCUUCACUGUUAAAAUCUGAGCCUUUGCUCUAGACGAUACAACAACCUGUGUGAAUUUUUCCUUCCCUCCUGAAUCUGAGCUGAGACCGAGCACUAUUGUAAAAUCCUGAUAGAUUCACUCCAGAAGGAAUGCAGAAUUGCUUCGGGCCAAGCUGAACCUGAACAGUGUCGAGGACAGCUGAGCUUAGACUGGAAUUUAUUCAGUCCUUGUUGAAUCCAAACCAGGGAGAAGUCAGAUCGUCCUCUCCCACACCGGGGAGAUGUACGAACUAAGUUUUCUCACCAUUUUUCAGCAUCGUCUGUAAGAGGUGCCCAUCCUAGCUGCGUGCAGAGUGCCAUGGUCUUCUCACACAAGCAGCUGGAGACCGAUUCCCUCCUGGCCCCGCUCCCAGCACCUCCAGGAAUCGCAGCCCUUCCAGCAAAGCUGCCAGCUCACUCUGAGUUCUGUCUCCAUCUGCCCACACUCAGCCUCCUCCCGCCACCUCUUACGAGCUUACUGUGACUGAGAAGGCCUCGCAGGCUCCUGAAGGUCUCCUGCAGGCUGAGAACGACUGCAGAAGAAAGGAUGUUCCUCGCCACGGUAGGCCAGGGCUCAAGCUGCUGCAGAAGAACCACAAGGGAGAGAAAGGGGGAUCAUUUGUAGGGCCUGUAAGCAGCAGAGACAGGACCAGGCAGGAGGCAUCUCAGAAAUGUAGGUGGUGAGUUACCCCCAUGUGCAGCCAGGCGAGCUGGCACCAUGCCCCUGGGUGGAUGCAGCAGUGCCCAAGGGCAGCCAGGACACCAGUUUGCAAUUACUGUCGGUCUGUGAAGCCCACUCAGGGAGUAUUUGCCUAGGGACAGGCAGAAAUCCCAUGUCUCUGAGCCCACCUUGGCACAAUGAGCCUCACAGAGUGACCACAGCUUUCCCAGGAGCCACAUCCCCAUCGGAUCCUCCCUUCCGGCAAAAGGCUGCUUUGGGCCACAGCAGCUUGGAGCUUUCUGCCUCCGUCUCUGAUCUCCAAAACCUCCAGAUGACCCGAGCAGCAGAGAGGGCCACGGUCAAAUCCCCCAAGCCACUGUCAAAUCCACAAAACGGCCCCAAUCCCAAAAGGUCAGCCCGCUGGGUCCUGGUGGUAGGAUGCCCCGAGCCGCCUCCUGCACUGUAACCACAGGACCCACUGGCAGAAGCCACCACGAGUAACGUGGAACCCCACUGCCUCCUUCACAGCUGCUCACGGAUGACUUUCUGCAGCUGCUGGGUGCUGCAGACCCUGACGGCCGUGUGCCCAGGACCAGGAGCCCCAAAGGGCAGAGCAGGCUCUGCUCCAGCCACCCCCAGCGCUGGUUUAGUGCCCAGCAGGGAUCGCUGCUGCGUGGGCUACGAGCUCCAAAAGGCGCGUGUUAAAUCCAGGGGCUGGCUCCUAGGAUCUGUCUGCCCUGAUCUGGCAUCUCCUGGGGAAACCGGGAUGCUCAGGGGGGGUGCAAGGGUCUGCUCCUUUCCUGUCCAGGAGAAGGCAAUGGACUAAAACAGGAAAAAUGAGAGAGAAAUGAACAUCAGCUGCUCAGUCUUACAACAGCUCUUAGAAAAAGAGGAAGCAUGGGGAACCCAGGCAGGUCCCCAUUAAGCUGAUGCCCUGCCACGGUCGAUCCAUGGUCGAUCGACGGGUCCCAGCAAGAUCCCAACAGCCAGUGAAUUCCUGCAUCGUGGAGGGGCCAGGGGACAGAAAAAGGAUGUGUCCUUAUCCCUGGGUCACACGCAGAGGCCAGAGCCAGGUGGGACCCGUGUGGGACCCUCCUGGGGGAGGCAGGCCCUGCUCAGGCCUUGCCAGUGUGAGACAGUCCUGCCUCCCCCUGAAACGCUCGGGGAAAGUUAUAAAUUGCUUUUCCUCUGCUCUUCCCCAACUGGGAUUAUUGACCGUGGUCAGGCCGGUGGCUCAGAGCUUGCUAAUGAAUUGUAAUUGGAACGAAGCUGCACUUUGACACGUUUUAUUUUAUUUAUGUCAGAACUCGCCAUGCGUUAAGCUGGGGGCUCAUUAAAUUAGCGAGGCAGACAGUUCCUGCCAGGAUGGCCUGAGCUAAUGGUGCUGGACAGACUUCAGCUGGGGACUGGCAGCAGGCAUAGGAGAGAUGGGGCCUGCAGAGAGCCCUGGUGCUGCUCAGCCCCCCACCUAGACAGAGGGUCCACGCCUGGCAUGCCAAUACCUCUCUGAGCAAUAAAUUACGAAUUUAUCCUUCUCUGGAGAAUAAAUUACAAAUUUAUCCUUCUCCGGGCAGCCCUGAGCCCUGCAGCUGCUCAGCUAUAUCUGCACCCAGCCUGCUCUCAGUCCCAACCCACCUCCCCAGGGAUGUGCCCCCCUUCUUGCUGUAGGGUGAGCACGUCGCCUGGCACCGCACUGGGCUCCUGCCCUGUCUGAGCCCUCUUCUGUGCCUGGCUAACCACAGAGGAUCUGUUUUGCCUCUCCUUCACCUCCUGCUGGCACUGCAGUGCCCUCUGGCCUCCAGACAGUCUCCAGGUCCAGACAGAACCUGAAUUUAUAAUAAUUGUGAAAGGCAAACAGAACGUAGAAAAAUCGUCCCCCAGCCAGCCUGCUGUCUCCCCGCAUUGGCUUUUGGCCUGCUGCUGCUUUCACUCAGACCUCUCGGGCCGGUCUUCUCUUUCUCUGGAAAGUUCCCCUAUUCCUGUGUCUGCUCCCUUCUACAUUUUUUUUUUUUUGCUCAGCUUUCUGCCAUAUUUAUGGGCAGAAUCCCAUGGCUUACCUUCAGGAGGGUGUGAGUAGGAAGUCAGAUGGCUCUUCCUUGACGUUGUUAUGGUGUUGUGUUAUGUUAGCAGACGUUGAUCGUGAUAAAAUGAUUUGUGUGGAACAGAGACAGUGCUGCUUGGGUGGGCUGAGUCCGUCCUGCACCCCUAAGGACAGCAGUCCAGUCCCUCGCCCCCUGCUCUCCCGGCAGGACCCCCAGUGUUGCCUUGCAGGUCCCUCCGUCCCAAUCCUGGCGUUCCCCAUCACACCCAUGGUGUUCCACAUGGUUACAGCUCUGUAGUUGCCACCAUCUGCUCAGGACCAGCUGGAAAAUGCCAAAUUUCUGUCCCUACCU